GUCUAUGGCCAUGCCACCCUGAACAAGCCCGAUCCUGGAAGCUAAGAAAGGUCAGUUCUGGUUAGUACUUGGAUGGGAGACCAGCUAGGAUCCCAGGUGCUGUAGGCA
RNAcentral lists this ribosomal RNA (108 nucleotides) under Pteropus alecto (black flying fox). Lineage: Eukaryota; Metazoa; Chordata; Mammalia; Chiroptera; Pteropodidae. The record is from RNAcentral.